UGACGGUACCGGAAGAAUAAGCACCGGCUAACUACGUGCCAGCAGCCGCGGUAAUACGUAGGGUGCGAGCGUUAAUCGGAAUUACUGGGCGUAAAGCGUGCGCAGGCGGUUUUGUAAGACCGAUGUGAAAUCCCCGGGCUUAACCUGGGAACUGCAUUGGUGACUGCAAGGCUUGAGUAUGGCAGAGGGGGGUAGAAUUCCACGUGUAGCAGUGAAAUGCGUAGAGAUGUGGAGGAAUACCGAUGGCGAAGGCAGCCCCCUGGGUCAAUACUGACGCUCAUGCACGAAAGCGUGGGGAGCAAACAGGAUUAGAUACCCUGGUAGUCCACGCCCUAAACGAUGUCAACUGGUUGUCGGGUCUUCAUUGACUUGGUAACGUAGCUAACGCGUGAAGUUGACCGCCUGGGGAGUACGGUCGCAAGAUUAAAACUCAAAGGAAUUGACGGGGACCCGCACAAGCGGUGGAUGAUGUGGAUUAAUUCGAUGCAACGCGAAAAACCUUACCUACCCUUGACAUGUACGGAACCCUGCUGAGAGGUGGGGGUGCCCGAAAGGGAGCCGUAACACAGGUGCUGCA
Molecule: ribosomal RNA, 577 nt
Filed under: Paraburkholderia nodosa
Lineage: Bacteria; Pseudomonadati; Pseudomonadota; Betaproteobacteria; Burkholderiales; Burkholderiaceae
Description: bacterial SSU rRNA
Rfam family: Bacterial small subunit ribosomal RNA
Source: RNAcentral